UGGGGAAUUUUGGACAAUGGGCGAAAGCCUGAUCCAGCAAUGCCGCGUGUGUGAAGAAGGCCUUCGGGUUGUAAAGCACUUUUGUCCGGAAAGAAAUCCUUGGCUCUAAUACAGUCGGGGGAUGACGUACCGGAAGAAUAAGCACCGGCUAACUACGUGCCAGCAGCCGCGGUAAUACGUAGGGUGCAAGCAUUAAUCGGAAUUACUGGGCGUAAAGCGUGCGCAGGCGGUUUGCUAAGACCGAUGUGAAAAUCCCCGGGCUCAAACCUGGGAACUGCAUUGGUGACUGGCAGGCUAGAGUAUGGCAGAGGGGGGUAGAAUUCCACGUNUAGCAGUGAAAUGCGUAGAGAUGUGGAGGAAUACCGAUGGCGAAGGCAGCCCCCUGGGCCAAUACUGACGCUCAUGCACGAAAGCGUGGGGAGCAAAACAGGAUUAGAUACCCUGGUAGU
RNAcentral lists this ribosomal RNA (449 nucleotides) under uncultured bacterium. Its description in RNAcentral is "partial 16S ribosomal RNA". It matches the Rfam family "Bacterial small subunit ribosomal RNA", at positions 355 to 794 of the family's 1533-position model. The record is from RNAcentral.